UAAGUCAUCCCCAUGGUGAUGUAGAUUACUUGACUUUUCCAACUGUUACCCUUACAGCUAUGCAUUAAAUUCAUUCACAAGAAUACAUGGAGUCUCUCUCCAUCCAUUCAAGGGGUGGGGCUUCAUAAUCUCUGUAUAUAUUAAUCUAAUCUGUUGAUAACCUUUCCCCCAUUUUUAAAUUUAUUCGACAAUCAACAUACACAUUACAGAUCUCUCUCUGUUUUAGACAAACAUAUUUUUUUGUUUAUACAGCCCUCAACCUGUAACUUGUCUUCUCUCUUCAGCCAUCUCCAUCUCUAUCUCUCUCUAUCAAAAUCAAAUCGCCCCCUGAAAUCAUCACUACUAAUCGAUUAAUUAGCAACUUUAUUUGAUUAGCUUAAUCAGUCUCUAUGAUUCGUGAUUAACAGUAGUAUUAUCGAAAAGAUGAUUAGAGAAAACGGAGAGUUUAUAAUAGAAAGUGUUGAUGGAGUUACAUCUUGGUUGAUAUGGAUUCAUUUCUUAGUUAUGCUCCUUCUUAUGAUUCUUCUCUUUUAUUUCUCAAUCAUAUCAGUAUCUGAUAAGUCUACCUCUUCUUCGUCGCCACCGCCGUCAUCGUUGAGUCAGAAUCAGAUCUCUGCUAAUAAGAAGUACAAUCACAGUUUUAGUACCAAUUGUUCAUCACAAGUAAUCAAGGUCUGCAGGUAAAUGAAGGUCACACAGAAAAUCAAUCAACAAGCAGAAGAGGAAUCGUAAGACCUCAAGUUAAUGAAAUUGAAGCUUUCACUCCUCCUCCGGCUACUACUACUUCAACAGCAUAUUGUAGUAGUUCCUCAUAUAAUCCUUGUUAUUUGCUUGAGUUAGGCAGAAGAGCUUUUCUCAAGUGCUUGGGUCUUGAUGAUUCUUCUACUACCUCACAAGAUUCUUCUCAACACAAUGGUAAUAAUAGUCGAGAGAAGCUGACAAAGAGAGACAAAAGCCAAUAAAUGAACAACAACUCCAAACUAAAGUCUGAAAUCUAGGAAGGGCAGCAAGAUGUGGAGGGAGCUAAUGGAAUGAGGCUGUUGGAUAGAUAUGAACCAUAUGGUUAUGGUGGGACAUUGUCAAUAUUGAAGAACUUGAUCCAAUGUAUCUGUUAGUUAACCCUAACCUUUUCAUUUAGAUAAGUUCAUAAUUUCAUUUAUUCUUGUAGGUCACAGAAAUCAUUUUCGUACCAUUUGUAUCUGCACAAUAAAACAUCAUAUUUAGGACCUUUUAUGGUUUUAUGGCUUGAAAAAUGUUUGGCUGUAAUGUCUGGGUUAUUAAUCUGAGAUUCAAACUGUUUGAGUUGUA
Molecule: RNA transcript, 1308 nt
Organism: Papaver somniferum (opium poppy)
Lineage: Eukaryota; Viridiplantae; Streptophyta; Magnoliopsida; Ranunculales; Papaveraceae
Exons: 3
Source: RefSeq, a predicted model, not a curated record